RNAcentral lists this ribosomal RNA (253 nucleotides) under uncultured bacterium. RNAcentral's name for it is "partial 16S ribosomal RNA". It matches the Rfam family "Bacterial small subunit ribosomal RNA", at positions 524 to 776 of the family's 1533-position model. The record is from RNAcentral.
UACGUAGGGUGCAAGCGUUGUCCGGAAUUAUUGGGCGUAAAGAGCUCGUAGGCGGUUUGUCGCGUCGAAUGUGAAAACCCGGGGCUCAACCCCGGGCCUGCAUUCGAUACGGGCAGACUGGAGUUCGGUAGGGGAGUCUGGAAUUCCUGGUGUAGCGGUGAAAUGCGCAGAUAUCAGGAGGAACACCGGUGGCGAAGGCGGGACUCUGGGCCGAUACUGACGCUGAGGAGCGAAAGCGUGGGGAGCAAACAGG